AUUGAACGCUGGCGGAAUGCUUAACACAUGCAAGUCGAACGAGUGGCGGAAGGGUGAGUAAUGCAUGGGAAUCUGGCUUAUGGAGGGGGAUAACGACGGGAAACUGUCGCUAAUACCGCGUACUAUAGGAUGAGCCUAAGUGGGAUUAGGUAGUUGGUGGGGUAAGGGCCUACCAAGCCGACGAUCUCUAGCUGGUCUGAGAGGAUGACCAGCCACACCGGGACGCAUAGACGGCCCUGACUCCUACGGGAGGCAGACGUGGGAAAUAUUGCGCAAUGGUGGCAACCCUGACGCAGCCAUGCCGCGUGAAUGAAGAAGGCCUUAGGGUUGUAAAGUUCUUUAUGUAUUGAGGCGUUAAAUACAGAAGAAGCACCGGCUAACUCCGUGCCAGCAGCCGCGAUAAUUC
Molecule: ribosomal RNA, 406 nt
Filed under: uncultured bacterium
Lineage: Bacteria
Description: partial 16S ribosomal RNA
Rfam family: Bacterial small subunit ribosomal RNA
Source: RNAcentral